ACGGAGGCAGCAGUGGGGAAUAUUGGGCAAUGGGCGCAAGCCUGACCCAGCAACGCCGUGUGAAGGAAGAAGGUCUUCGGAUUGUAAACUUUUGUCUUAUGGGACGAUAAUGACGGUACCAUAGGAGGAAGUCACGACUAACUACGUGCCAGCAGUCGCGGUAAUACGUAGGUGACAAGCGUUAUCCGGAAUUAUUGGGUGUAAAGGGUGCGUAGGCGGGCUGUAAAGUCAGAUGUGAAAUACCGGGGCUCAACCCCGGAGCUGCAUUUGAAACUUACGGUCUUGAGUGAAGUAGAGGUAAGCGGAAUUCCCAGUGUAGCGGUGAAAUGCGUAGAUAUUGGGAGGAACACCAGUGGCGAAGGCGGCUUACUGGGCUUUUACUGACGCUGAGGCACGAAAGUGUGGGGAGCAAACAGGAUUAGAUACCCUGGUA
This 433-nucleotide ribosomal RNA is filed under the name uncultured Oscillospiraceae bacterium. RNAcentral's name for it is "partial 16S ribosomal RNA". It matches the Rfam family "Bacterial small subunit ribosomal RNA", at positions 341 to 792 of the family's 1533-position model. Lineage: Bacteria; Bacillati; Bacillota; Clostridia; Eubacteriales; Oscillospiraceae. The record is from RNAcentral.